CACGUAGGAGCCAAGCGUUAUCCGAAUUCACUGGGCGUAAAGCGCGUGCAGGCGGCACGGCAAGUUGGAUGUGAAAGCUCCUGGCUCAACUGGGAGAGGACGUUCAAUACUGUCGAGCUAGAGGACGGCAGAGGGAGGUGGAAUUCCCGGUGUAGUGGUGAAAUGCGUAGAUAUCGGGAGGAACACCAGUGGCGAAGGCGGCCUUCUGGGCCGUACCUGACGCUCAGACGCGAAAGCUAGGGGAGCAAACGGG
Molecule: ribosomal RNA, 253 nt
Filed under: uncultured Longilinea sp.
Lineage: Bacteria; Bacillati; Chloroflexota; Anaerolineae; Anaerolineales; Anaerolineaceae
Description: partial 16S ribosomal RNA
Rfam family: Bacterial small subunit ribosomal RNA
Source: RNAcentral